AACGUAGGACACAAGCGUUAUCCGGAAUUACUGGGCGUAAAGGGCGUGCAGGCGGUUGGGGAAGUUAGGCGUGAAAGACUUCGGCUAAACCGGGGGAGGUCGUCUGAUACUGCUCAACUUGAGUAUGGUAGAGGCGUGUAGAAUUCCGGGUGUAGUGGUGAAAUGCGUAGAGAUCCGGAGGAAUACCAGUGGCGAAGGCGGCACGCUGGGCCAUAACUGACGCUAAGACGCGAAAGCAUGGGUAGCGAACGGG
This 253-nucleotide ribosomal RNA is filed under the name uncultured bacterium. RNAcentral describes it as "partial 16S ribosomal RNA". It matches the Rfam family "Bacterial small subunit ribosomal RNA", at positions 524 to 776 of the family's 1533-position model. The record is from RNAcentral.